UGGGGAAUCUUGGACAAUGGGGGCAACCCUGAUCCAGCCAUGCCGCGUGAGUGAUGAAGGCCUUAGGGUCGUAAAGCUCUUUCGCCUGUGAAGAUAAUGACGGUAGCAGGUAAAGAAACCCCGGCUAACUCCGUGCCAGCAGCCGCGGUAAUACGGAGGGGGUUAGCGUUGUUCGGAAUUACUGGGCGUAAAGCGCACGUAGGCGGACCAGAAAGUUGGGGGUGAAAUCCCGGGGGCUCAACCCCGGAACUGCCUCCAAAACUAUUGGUCUAGAGUUCGAGAGAGGUGAGUGGAAUUCCAAGUGUAGAGGUGAAAUUCGUAGAUAUUUGGAGGAACACCAGUGGCGAAGGCGGCUCACUGGCUCGAUACUGACGCUGAGGUGCGAAAGUGUGGGGGAGCAAACAGGAUUAGAUACCCUGGUAGUCCACACCGUAAAACGAUGGAAUGCCAGUCGUCGGGUAGCAUGCUAUUCGGUGACACACCU
This 484-nucleotide ribosomal RNA is filed under the name uncultured bacterium. RNAcentral's name for it is "bacterial SSU rRNA". It matches the Rfam family "Bacterial small subunit ribosomal RNA", at positions 355 to 853 of the family's 1533-position model. The record is from RNAcentral.